This 73-nucleotide transfer RNA is filed under the name Minisyncoccota bacterium. RNAcentral's name for it is "tRNA-Ala". It matches the Rfam family "tRNA". From Rfam's summary of the family: Transfer RNA (tRNA) molecules are approximately 80 nucleotides in length. Their secondary structure includes four short double-helical elements and three loops (D, anti-codon, and T loops). Further hydrogen bonds mediate the characteristic L-shaped molecular structure. tRNAs have two regions of fundamental functional importance: the anti-codon, which is responsible for specific mRNA codon recognition, and the 3' end, to which the tRNAs corresponding amino acid is attached (by aminoacyl-tRNA synthetases). tRNAs cope with the degeneracy of the genetic code in two manners: having more than one tRNA (with a specific anti-codon) for a particular amino acid; and 'wobble' base-pairing, i.e. permitting non-standard base-pairing at the 3rd anti-codon position. The record is from RNAcentral. Lineage: Bacteria; Bacillati; Minisyncoccota.
GGGCCCGUAGCUUAGUUGGUAGAGCGCCUCGUUUGCAUCGAGGAGGUCAGCGGUCCGAAUCCGCUCGGGUCCA